UACGAAGGGGGCAAGCGUUGUUCGGAAUUACUGGGCGUAAAGGGCGCGUAGGCGGCCGAUCAAGUCAGGCGUGAAAUUCCCGGGCUCAACCUGGGGGCUGCGCUUGAUACUGAUUGGCUUGAAUGCGGGAGAGGAUAGUGGAAUUCCCAGUGUAGAGGUGAAAUUCGUAGAUAUUGGGAAGAACACCGGUGGCGAAGGCGGCUCACUGGCUCGUAACUGACGCUCAUGCACGACAGCGUGGGGAUCAAACAGG
RNAcentral lists this ribosomal RNA (253 nucleotides) under uncultured bacterium. RNAcentral's name for it is "partial 16S ribosomal RNA". It matches the Rfam family "Bacterial small subunit ribosomal RNA", at positions 524 to 776 of the family's 1533-position model. The record is from RNAcentral.